This 1215-nucleotide long non-coding RNA is filed under the name Apteryx haastii (Great spotted kiwi). RNAcentral's name for it is "lncRNA (ENSAHAG00000004563.1)". Lineage: Eukaryota; Metazoa; Chordata; Aves; Apterygiformes; Apterygidae. The record is from RNAcentral.
AUGAGUAGGAAGUCAAGCAAAGGAGGCAGGAGACCUGCACGGAUGAGCAAGGAGCUCCUGGCAAAACUCAACCAGAAGGAGGAAGUAUACAGAAAGUGGAAAGGGGGACAGGCCACUUGGGAGAAUUAUAGAAACAUUGUCAGAGUAUGCAGGGAUGUGACGAGGAAGGCUAAGGCCCGUUUGGAAUUAAAUCUGGCAAGAGAUGUCAAGGACAGCAAGAAGGGCUUCUUCAAAUACAUCAGUAGCAAGAGGAAGACUAGGGAAAAUGUGGGCCCUUUGCUGAAUGGGGUGAGUGCGCUGGUGACGAAGGAUGCAGAGAAGGCAGAGUUACUGAAUGCCUUCUUUGCUUCAGUCUUUACUGCUCAGGCCAGCCCUCAGGAAUCCCAGACCCUGGAGACAAGAGAGAAAGUCUGGAGAAAGGAAGACUUUCCCUUGGUGGAGGAGGAGUGGGUUAGAGAUCAUUUAAGCAAAUUUGACACCCACAAAUCCAUGGGCCCUGAUGGGAUGCACCCACGAGUGCUGAGGGAGCUGGCGGAUGUCAUUGCUAAGCCACUCUCCAUCAUCUCUGAAAGGUCAUGGAGGACAGGAGAGGUGCCUGAGGACUGGAAGAAAGCCAAUGUCACCCCAGUCUUCAAAAAGGGCAAGAAGGAGGACCCAGGGAACUACAGGCCAGUCAGCCUCGCCUCCAUCCCUGGAAAGGUGAUGGAGCAGCUCAUCCUGGAGGCCAUCUCCAAGCAUGUGGAGGACAAGAAGGUGAUCAGGAGCAGUCAGCAUGGCUUCACCAAGGGGAAAUCAUGCYUAACCAAUCUGAUAGCCUUCUAUGAUGGAAUGACUGGCUGGGUAGAUGAGGGGAGAGCAGUGGAUGUUGCCUCCCUUGACUUCAGCAAGGCUUUUGACACUGUCUCCCAUAACAUCCUCGUAGAAAAGCUCAGGAAGUGUGGGUUAGAUGAGUGGACAGUGAGGUGGAUUGAGAACUGGCUGAAUGGCAGAGCUCAGAGAGUUGUGAUCAGUGCUAGUUGGAGGCCUGUAGCUAGCGGUGUCCCCCGGGGGUCAGUACUGGGUCCAGUCUUGUUCAACUUCUUCAUCAAUGACCUGGAUGAAGGGACAGAGUGCACCCUCAGCAAGUUUGCUGAUGAUGCAAAGCUGGGAGGAGUGGCCGAUACACCGGAGGGCUGUGCUGCCAUUCAGAGAGACUUGGACAGGCUGGAGAGUUGA